This is a long non-coding RNA of Manis pentadactyla (Chinese pangolin), 3232 nucleotides long. RefSeq lists it as uncharacterized. The transcript has 3 exons. NCBI's taxonomy places the organism in Eukaryota, Metazoa, Chordata, Mammalia, Pholidota, Manidae. The record is from RefSeq and is a predicted model, not a curated record.
CUCGUGCUCACUCUUGAUUUCUGUUCUUAUUUGGUUAGGGCUGUGGGCCACGCUUGGACCAGCACAUUCUUACACCCUCUGUCGCACCCGGAGCUGACCUGGACCGCGUCUGUGCCGUCUUCUCCAUGGCCACUGACUGUGCCACUGGCCUCCCCGAAUGACAGCCCAUUGUGCCUCCUCUGACCCCAAGUGCCACCGCGUCAUCUGAUCACGAUCACAACGGCUCCAGUAUGUGCAGGACAAUUUUCAGGAAGGGGGAUGGCGAGGAGGUCAGAAACCCCGGCUGCAUAUUUCCCUAAACCAAACCAUCUGUUUAUUAGCUCUAUAAGCAGUAAUAAAGACAGCAAGGACCCAAGAGCCUUUGGGUCCUGGCGGCCCGAGGAAGAAGUUAAGUGACGUAGUGGGGACCUGGGGGGGAUGUGUCUGCAGGGUCCCUUUCUCCUGCCUGACAUCGCCUGUUCAAAGCAGCGUCUCCUUGGGGAGGAGCGGGGCCGCCUUUCCACUGCUCCCCUGCCUGCAGCUGUAUGGUGGCUUUGGAGUCACCUGCCUGCUGCAAGCUGCUGGAUGAGGAGGGGCUGGGAAAUGAGCUGGCUGGUGAUGGUGCUUACGGGGUGCCAAGAGAGCGCUCCUGGGGAAUGUACUGAGCUGUGAGAACGGGCGAACCUGGGAAAACAGUCAGACAACAAUACCGAGUGCCUAGGUGACAGGAAAAAAAAGAGGAAUCUGUUUGGGAACAGAUUUCAGCCUCGAUGUCCAAGGCAUUAGUAAUUCAAGCAGCAGGGUGGGUAAUAUUUGGGAAACUAUGAAAAGUCAUAUAACAAUGUUCUUUUCACAGCUUUCAUCAUCGGCUUGCCUGGGUCCCAGUGCAGUCAGCCCCCUAAUCAUAAACAGAGGAGCAUGCUGCCAACUGGCAGCGAGGUGUCAGCACGCUGCCUCAGCUGGGCCCCGGGCCUGUUCGAGGGCCAGGCGUCCUCCACCACCAGGCCCCGUGUCAGAGGCCGGGCCCCGGGAAGCUCAGAAUGCUGAGUCCCACCCAGAAACUGGGGACAGUGGAGCUGACAAGUACAGUGGUCAACCAGCAGGCGGGAGAAAAGAUGAAAUAGUAGAUCAACAAAGCCCUGCUUUAAAAGUUAAAAAAUUCAACUCAAUUAUUUUAUUUUUUGCUUCUUUUCUGGUGGGGAAAGAGGGUUGGGGGGAGAGAGGUAGGGUGGUUUGUCUGGGACCAAGGGGGUUUCUGGGCUAUAGUAGGACUUUAUGUUCUAAAACCAGAGAAGUCCCAAGCAAACCAGGAGUUGGUCACCCUGGUGGGAGAGGAAGUUUGCAUAGGAAAAAUCACAUGAUUCACUGUCUGCAUUCACCGUUUGCCUAACUCACUGUUGAGACCAAGAGAGUCAGGUAACCUCCCAGGGCUUCCCUAUAAAAGGGAUAGGUUGGAGCAUUGCGGGGAGGUGUAAAUUCACCUGUCUGUGAGCUGGGCAGGUAACCUGAACGGCAUAGGUAUGAGGGCACAGAUGCCCUGGGGGCUGGGGGUGGGGACUGGGUCCAAGGAGCCCUGGAGAAGAGGCUUCUGUCCUCAUCCAGCAUAUCACCACCAAGUGAGAUGUGGGCUCUGGGCUGCCAGACGUCUGAUUUUUAAAAGAAUUUUCUGUGAAAGCUCCCAGAUUUUGAAAUGUUGGCUCACAUGCUAAGGACAUCCUGUGUAGGCCACACAAACACAUCUGAUUGCCAACUGGCCUCUGGGCAACCACUCUGCAACCUCUUGACUACACAAUUUCUAAGUUGCCUGUCAGUUCUAAAGUUCAAUAAUUUUACAAACUCCAGCCAGCCAUCCCCUCAGUUCAGUGGAAAUUAAUCACAUGGGUUACUUUGAGGAAGGAUAAACAAAUAUGUAUAUUUCGGCAGUUGAUUUCAGCCACUUAAUUCUAAAAAAGUGGUUUCUGCAGUAUCCCAGGCUGGUAUAUCUAUCUAUCUAGUAGCUGUAGACUCAAUACUGUUAAGAUGUCUGCUACAACCUGGAGGAACCUUGAAAACAUCAUGUCGAGUGAAAGAAGCCAGACGCAGAAGGUCAUAUGUUGUAUAAUUCCAUUUACAUGAACUGUCCAGAAUAGGCAAAUUUAUAAACAUAAAGUAGAUGAGUGGUUGCCUAGGGACUGGGGCAAGGAGGAUGGGAGUAACUGCUAAUGGGCUUGGGGUUUCUUUUUGGGGUGAUGAAAAUGUUCUGGAACUUAAUAGUGAUAAUGGCUAUACAGCCUUGUGAAUAUGCAGUUGAUCCUUGAAUAACAUGGGUUUGAACUGAACAGGUCCACUUAUGCAUGGAUUUUUCCCAGUAAAUACAGUACAGUACUGUAAAUGUAUUUUCUCUUCUUUAUGAUUUUCUUAACAUUCUUUUUUCUAUAGCUUAUUUUAUUGUAAGAAUACAAUAUAUAAUACAUAUACAAAAUACAUAUUAAUCUACUGUUUGUUAUCCAUAGGCUUCCAGUGAACAUAGGUUAUUAGUAGGUAAGUUUUGGGAGAGUCAAAAAUUAUAUGAGUCAAAGGUUUUGACUGCAUGGAGGGUCACAACCCCUAACCUCUGUGUUGUCCAAGGGUCAACUGUACUAGACACCACUGAACAGUAUACUCUUAAAUGGUGAAUUUUAUGGUAUUUGAAUUAUAUCUCCAUUUAAACAUAUAUUGUUAAAGUGUCGAUUCUCCUCAAAUUGGCCUAUAGAUUUUAUGUAAUCCCAGUCAAAAUUCAAGCAGGCUUUUGGGUAGAAAUUGAUAAACUGAUUAUAAAAUUCAAAGGGAAGUUCAAUAGACAUAGAAUUUCCAAAACAAUUUUGAAAAAGAAGAGAAAAGAAGGAGGUCUCAUACCAUUUGAUUUCAAGACUUAUAAAGCUCCAGUAAUCAAUCUAGUGUGGUAUGGGUAUAAAGAGAGCUAAAUAGAUAAAUGGAACAGAAGAGAGGAUCCAGAAAUAGACUCACAGAAAUACGGACAACAGAUUUUCAACAAAGGUUCAAAAGUCAUUCAGUGGAAAAAGAAUUCUUCCCUGCAAAAACUGUUCUGGGAGAACUGAAUAUCCAUGUGCAGAAAAAACCCUAAAAAACAAAACCAGAGCCUUGAUGUAUACCUUGCAUCAUAUAAAAAUAUCAACCCAAAACAGACUUAAAUGUAAAACUUAAAAAGUAUAGAACUUCUAGAAGAAAAUACAGGAGAAAACCUUGUAACCUGGGGGUAGGCAAAGAUUUCUUA